CCCAUUGACGAUGAUGAGAUGGUAUCUUUUAUCCUGAAUGGUCUUGAUCAUGAUUAUAAUCCCAUAGUCUCUUCUUUCCUUGGGCGUUCAGAUCCCAUCUCUGUUAAUGAUCUGUAUGCUCAAGUUAUGUCAUAUGAAC
This is a small nucleolar RNA of Panicum virgatum (switchgrass), 139 nucleotides long. RefSeq annotates it as small nucleolar RNA Z247. The record is from RefSeq and is a predicted model, not a curated record. The transcript has a single exon. NCBI's taxonomy places the organism in Eukaryota, Viridiplantae, Streptophyta, Magnoliopsida, Poales, Poaceae.